This 705-nucleotide long non-coding RNA is filed under the name Physcomitrium patens. RNAcentral's name for it is "long non-coding RNA (PPAT_LNC007603)". Lineage: Eukaryota; Viridiplantae; Streptophyta; Bryopsida; Funariales; Funariaceae. The record is from RNAcentral.
UUCAAAAUUUCUAUAAAGGUUUGUAUGAAGGCAAAUUAAAAGAUAUUGGAAUUUAUUUGAGCACAAUAAAAAAAACAAGAAGGGUAGGUGGAUAAAACCUUCAAAGAUAUUAGAUACCAAUCUUAUGAUUAUUUGCUUAAAAAUGGAUUUCUAUGGAAGAGGCCAAAAAGAGAUGAAAAAAUUCCAUUAAAGACUUUGAAACUAAAUUUAAAGUUAAAAAAAAUGUCAUGAUACAUUUUAGGUAGGACAUAGAGGAAUUUGAGCCACAUAUAUAAAGAUCAAGAAAAGAUAUUAAUAGAAGGACUUAUACAAGGAUGUAGAAGAUUUUGUGAGCUCAUGCAUAGAAUAUCAAUUACAAUCUGAGAUUAGGUAUAGAGAUGGAUUACAUCCAACUUAUCCACUUGUUAUACAUUUUUAAUAAGUAAUUGAUUUAGUAGCUAUGCUAUCAGGACUUUGGAGUAUAAAAUACUUAAUUUUGACAAGAAAAGAGCUAUCAAAUUAUGUUGAAAGGAGGGCUUUGAGAACCAAGACUAUAAAAGUAGUAUGCAGAUUUAUAUUAAAAGAUAUCUUUAGUAAAAUAUAGUAGCAUUGGAAGGAUGAGAUUCAAGCCACUAAAAUGGCCAUCUAGGACAAAGUAUGAAGGCAUUUGGAGAUUGACAACUAGGAUUGAAGAACUUGCUUUAAGCUACUUUCAAAAGCAUAAAG